GAGUUUGAUCGUGGCUCAGAACGAACGCUGGCGGCGUGGAUAAGACAUGCAAGUCGAACGGGAGAAUUGCUAGCUUGCUAAUAAUUCUCUAGCGGCGCACGGGUGAGUAACACGUGAGUAACCUGCCCCCGAGAGCGGGAUAGCCCUGGGAAACUGGGAUUAAUACCGCAUAGUAUCGAAAGAUUAAAGCAGCAAUGCGCUUGGGGAUGGGCUCGCGGCCUAUUAGUUAGUUGGUGAGGUAACGGCUCACCAAGGCGAUGACGGGUAGCCGGUCUGAGAGGAUGUCCGGCCACACUGGAACUGAGACACGGUCCAGACACCUACGGGUGGCAGCAGUCGAGAAUCAUUCACAAUGGGGGAAACCCUGAUGGUGCGACGCCGCGUGGGGGAAUGAAGGUCUUCGGAUUGUAAACCCCUGUCAUGUGGGAGCAAAUUAAAAAGAUAGUACCACAAGAGGAAGAGACGGCUAACGUCUGUGCCAGCAGCAGCCG
This 491-nucleotide ribosomal RNA is filed under the name uncultured microorganism. Its description in RNAcentral is "bacterial SSU rRNA". It matches the Rfam family "Bacterial small subunit ribosomal RNA", at positions 9 to 520 of the family's 1533-position model. The record is from RNAcentral.